UCCGGUUUGUCACCGGCAGUCUCGCAUGAGUCCCCAACUAAAUGCUGGCAACAUGCGACGGGGGUUGCGCUCGUUGCGGGACUUAACCCAACAUCUCACGACACGAGCUGACGACAGUCAUGCAGCACCUGUUAUCCGGUUCCCGAAGGCACAACUGUAUCUCUACAGUCUUCCGGUAAUGUCAAGGGCAGGUAAGGUUCUUCGCGUUGCAUCGAAUUAAACCACACGCUCCGCUGCUUGUGCGGGCCCCCGCCUAUUCCUUUGAGUUUUAACCUUGCGGCCGUAGUCCCCAGGCGGUGAACUUAAUGCGUUAGCUGCGGCACUGAUCGGGUCAAUCCGACCAACACCUAGUUCACAACGUUUAGGGCGUGGACUAC
RNAcentral lists this unclassified non-coding RNA (377 nucleotides) under uncultured Chloroflexota bacterium. RNAcentral's name for it is "uncultured Chloroflexi bacterium contains 16S-23S intergenic spacer region". The record is from RNAcentral. Lineage: Bacteria; Bacillati; Chloroflexota.